GGUGUUACCAGAUAUUUCACCAAUAAUCUUUCAAUGACAAGUUAUUUUUCUCUUUAAUGAGACUGAUUAAAGAAAUAUGACUAAAGUCAGCCACAUUUUACACUAUUUCAAACAUCAAGUAUAAAGUCUCUGAAUUCAUCAUAAGGGAGAAAAGUCAUGCAUACCACCAUACACGGAAGCAUCACUCCUAAUUAUGUCAUAUAAAUUUCAGAAUCUGACUGACACUGGCAAGCCAGAUGCCAGCUCGUACCAAGACUGGAGGCAUUAGCUAAGAACUAACAAAUUCAUAUCUAGAGACCAGACCAGUUCAGCUGUAUGUUAGUUUUACU
Long non-coding RNA from Mauremys reevesii (Reeves's turtle), 329 nucleotides. RefSeq lists it as uncharacterized. The transcript has 3 exons. The record is from RefSeq and is a predicted model, not a curated record. NCBI's taxonomy places the organism in Eukaryota, Metazoa, Chordata, Testudines, Geoemydidae.